Molecule: long non-coding RNA, 1186 nt
Filed under: Homo sapiens (human)
Lineage: Eukaryota; Metazoa; Chordata; Mammalia; Primates; Hominidae
Description: HSALNT0349275
Source: RNAcentral
UGGGCGGGAAAGGACGGACGGGUUAAGUAGCCAAUCACCAAUUGCGCUCCAGCCAGAGGGGCGAUGUUCUUGGGGAGCCUGGGGAUCUGGAAGAAGUUCAGUGUGAGGACGAGUGUUAGGAAAUAAGGCUGAAGACAGAGGCAACCCUGGAGGAUCUUCUAACCCAUGUCAAGCAGUUGAGAAUUUAUGGAGUGAAAUAGCAAGCCAUUGAAGAGUUUCAAGCUUUCAUCCAGCUUUUAAGGGAAACUAAUAUCUCAUGAAAUUGUGAGGGCCUGGAAUCUUCAAAGAGCCAAGGAUUCUGCCAGACUGAGCAAUAGACUUGAUGAGCAUUCUCCACUUAAGAUCUGAACUAUGAGAAGUCGAAUCAAAGCAGUUCUUUUGUAAUUCCAAACAGCCAUUUAGACAUAUGAAGAAAUGAAAGUAAAGCAGUUCUAAAGACAAGGAAGAGGGUCAAUGAAAGGUGCUCCCAAUGCAAUCACAAAGAUCUUUAAAAGUGGAAGAAGGUGGGAGAGGUCAGAGUGAUACGAAGAGAACUCAGUCUACCACUGCUGGCUUUGAAGAUGGAAGAAUGGGGCUAUGAGCCCUGGAUUGCGGGCAGCCUGCAGAAGCUGGGGCAGAGAUUCCACACAGGCACCUCUAGAAAAUAAUGCAGCCAGCCAAUCCUUAGACUUUAUCCCAGUGAGAGUCAAGUUGGACUUCUGACCUACAAAAGAAUACAGCAAAAAGGCAGCCAUCUGAAAGGCAGGAAGAGAGCCCUUACCAGAAACCGAGCUCUGCUGGACCUUGUCCUUGGACUUUCCAGCCUCCAGAACACCCUUUGACACAGCCGACAAAGAUCCUGACAGAUAAAUUGGUGUGGGCCUGUCUUUCUGGGACCUUCUUGCCUGAAAUUAUUUCAAGACCAGUUUUCUCAGCCAUAGAGUAUGUGCAGCAGAGGUCUGUAUCUUCUGCAGGUUGAUGUGCUCCUGUGCAACUGGAUGGGUCCCAGUUCAUGGCCCCAGGGCCAACACAGACUAUUAAUGUUUCAAUGAAUUACCUAAGGAGCACCAUGAAAAAAACACACCAUGGUACUGGCAAUUGUUUGAAGAAGGUCCUAAAUAUGCCUGGGUUUGGGAGUCUCGGCUUCUACUGGGAAUGAUACAAGAGGUCAAGGCUACUUGUAAUGAAUAAAUCCUGUUCUCUGCCA